AUACGGAGGGGGCUAGCGUUGUUCGGAAUUACUGGGCGUAAAGCGCGCGUAGGCGGAUUGAUCAGUCAGGGGUGAAAUCCCGAGGCUUAACCUCGGAACUGCCUCUGAUACUGUCAAUCUUGAGUUCGAGAGAGGUGAGUGGAAUUCCUAGUGUAGAGGUGAAAUUCGUAGAUAUUAGGAAGAACACCAGUGGCGAGGGCGGCUCACUGGCUCGAUACUGACGCUGAGGUGCGAAAGCGUGGGGAGCAAACAGGAUUAGAUACCCUAGUAGUCC
Molecule: ribosomal RNA, 274 nt
Filed under: uncultured bacterium
Lineage: Bacteria
Description: partial 16S ribosomal RNA
Rfam family: Bacterial small subunit ribosomal RNA
Source: RNAcentral